CACGUAGGGCGCGAGCGUUGUCCGGAAUUAUUGGGCGUAAAGAGCUCGUAGGCGGCCUGUUGCGUCCGCUGUGAAAGCCCGGGGCUUAACCCCGGGUCUGCAGUGGAUACGGGCAGGCUAGAGGUAGGUAGGGGAGAAUGGAAUUCCCGGUGUAGCGGUGAAAUGCGCAGAUAUCGGGAAGAACACCCGUGGCGAAGGCGGCACUCUGGGACGGUACUGACGCUGAGACGCGAAAGCGUGGGGAGCGAACAGG
RNAcentral lists this ribosomal RNA (253 nucleotides) under uncultured bacterium. Its description in RNAcentral is "partial 16S ribosomal RNA". It matches the Rfam family "Bacterial small subunit ribosomal RNA", at positions 524 to 776 of the family's 1533-position model. The record is from RNAcentral.